ACAAUAUAUUAAAUGGAUUUUUGGAACUAGGAGUUGGAAUAGGAGCUUGCUCUGUCCACUCCACGCAUUGGCCUGGUAUUGCAGUACCUCCAGGAACGGUGC
RNAcentral lists this small nuclear RNA (102 nucleotides) under Sorex araneus (European shrew). RNAcentral's name for it is "U2 spliceosomal RNA (ENSSARG00000019109.1)". It matches the Rfam family "U2 spliceosomal RNA", at positions 83 to 185 of the family's 192-position model. From Rfam's summary of the family: U2 is a small nuclear RNA (snRNA) component of the spliceosome (involved in pre-mRNA splicing). Complementary binding between U2 snRNA (in an area lying towards the 5' end but 3' to hairpin I) and the branchpoint sequence (BPS) of the intron results the bulging out of an unpaired adenosine, on the BPS, which initiates a nucleophilic attack at the intronic 5' splice site, thus starting the first of two transesterification reactions that mediate splicing. The record is from RNAcentral. Lineage: Eukaryota; Metazoa; Chordata; Mammalia; Eulipotyphla; Soricidae.